This 513-nucleotide long non-coding RNA is filed under the name Anser cygnoides (Swan goose). RNAcentral's name for it is "lncRNA (ENSACDG00005002057.1)". The record is from RNAcentral. Lineage: Eukaryota; Metazoa; Chordata; Aves; Anseriformes; Anatidae.
AUGGAUUCAGGGAGGUCCUUUCUGAUAUACAAAAGCUCCUUCCAGUUCUCCGUUCUUAAAAUCAGGGUGGACUAUUAUGAACUACUCCUCUGGCAUUUAAUAAGCAGAUCUGUUACCGUGCCCAUUUUUAACACUCUUGAAUAAGAAGAAAUUGGACCCAUGGAUAAGGAGUUCAAGAUUCAUGGUUGUCCUACCAGCAGAACCACUUUCACCAAAAGAAAAGCUUCAAGAAUUAUUAUGAAGGAUAUGAAGGGCAUAUUCUGAAUAAGGUAAGCAGAAUGAAUGAAUCUCUCUCAAACUUCAGUGAUCAGAAACCAUUUUAUUAUAUUGAAGACGUAUAGUACAAUGUAUGUCAGAACAGAACAUAAAUUCCCUUGACAUAAAAUUAUACUUUUUAAUGAAAACAAGCUACAGAUGGAUGGAAAUUCCUACUGAAUGCUCUGUCAGUCCCUUGCCAUUCUUAGCAUAGUUGGCAACAAUAAAUAUGGAGAAAAAAUGAAGAUCUUUCUACUC